CCCAAUGGGCGGGAACCUCGGGAACUGAGAAUAAUACCCGAUAGAACAUUAUGCCUGGAAUGGUUUAUGUUUCAAAUGAUUUAUCGCCAUAGGAUGGGACUGCGGCCUAUCAGUUUGUUGGUGAGGUAAUGGCCCACCAAGACUAUUACAGGUACGGGCUCUGAGAGGAGUGGCCCGGAGAUGGGUACUGAGACACGGACCCAGGCCCUAUGGGGCGCAGCAGGCGAGAAAACUUUGCAAUGUGCGAAAGCACGACAAGGUUAAUCCGAGUGGUUUCUGCUAAAGAAACCUUUUGUCAGUCCUAGAAACACUGAUGAAUAAGGGGUGGGCAAGUUCUGGUGUCAGCCGCCGCGGUAAAACCAGCACCUCAAGUGGUCAGGAUGAUUAUUGGGCCUAAAGCAUCCGUAGCUCGUUUUGUAAGUGUUCGGUUAAAUCCAUGCGCUUAACGUAUGGGCUGCCGGGAAUACUGCAUAACUAGGAAGUGGGAGAGGUAGACGGUACUCGGUAGGAAGGGGUAAAAUCCUUUGAUCUAUUGAUGACCACCUGUGGCGAAGGCGGUCUACCAGAACACGUUCGACGGUGAGGGAUGAAAGCUGGGGGAGCAAACCGGAUUAGAUACCCGGGUAGUCCCAGCUGUAAACUAUGCAAACUCAGUGAUGCAUUGGCUUGUGGCCAAUGCAGUGCUGCAGGGAAGCCGUUAAGUUUGCCGCCUGGGAAGUACGUACGCAAGUAUGAAACUUAAAGGAAUUGGCGGGGGAGCAC
Molecule: ribosomal RNA, 762 nt
Filed under: uncultured archaeon
Lineage: Archaea
Description: bacterial SSU rRNA
Rfam family: Archaeal small subunit ribosomal RNA
Source: RNAcentral